Long non-coding RNA from Fukomys damarensis (Damara mole-rat), 1901 nucleotides. RefSeq lists it as uncharacterized. Lineage: Eukaryota; Metazoa; Chordata; Mammalia; Rodentia; Bathyergidae. The transcript is spliced from 3 exons. The record is from RefSeq and is a predicted model, not a curated record.
ACUUCCCAGCUGUGCACCCUCUGGCCUUAGCUCCUCCCAGCAGCGUGGCCCGUGAAGGGCAGACUUCGUGACUAUCCAGCCCGCCUCCUCACAAGCUCCUGCAAUUCCUCCUGGAGUCCGUAUUCCCAGUCUGCUGUUGGGUGUUCUCCAUCCUAACACUUGUCUCCCAUUUGCUCUUCUUUUAUACCAGAAUUCACUCUGCCAGAAUAUUCUUCAUUCAAAUGAAAAAUCAAUCAAGUUAAAACCAAGUAUGCCAAAAACUCUAUAAGUUGAAACCUGCUUAAGCCUUUGGUUUUGAUUUAGUGUAGCUCGCACCUCAUGCUCAGGACGGUUUGAGUUGAAGACCAUGCAAGUCAUUCUCUCAAGUGUCUUCUUACCUCAGGACCUUUGCACACAUCAUUCUGUUGCCUAGAACUAUUUUUCUACCCUCCUGUGCUUUGUUCAGUUACCACUGCUUAGCCUCAGGGUUUCCUCCCGCAGCAGAACUGGUUUUGUACCCCAAGACUAGACUGGGGGAAGCUCCAUGAACCAUCCUGUGCUCACCAACACCUUCUGUUUUCUUGUUAAGCCUCUUUCACUGGAUUGUGAACUUUUCAAGAGUUCAGAUUAUGUCCCUUGCCCCUAGAAAAGCUGCCCACUAAAUAUUUUCAAAUGAACAAACAUGAUAUAAAGUGAGUACCACCUUUGUUUCUCUCACAGAGCUGCACUUCAAAAAGAUGGAUUCAGAUGAUUCUGGGAUCAGUGAAGAGCACUCUUUUCUCUAGUGUGCAUUUGACUCUUCUCUCUGUGUCUAACUUCCCUGGAGAGGUGAUGCCUUCAGCGAUGAUGGAAAGACCAUUGCGGGACUUACCAGUGCUAGAAUGUGCUGAGCUUCAAAAGUUCUGGUCUCACAAAACCGACCUCACCAAGAAAACACUGUGAAGUUUUUGGCAGAGACUGAUGGCAUAGUGAACAAGUUUCCAAGGCUGUGUACAACACACACAGACCUUUCUGUUAUCUUUGCUUCCAGCCAGCUGGGCACUGGACACCAGGACUCUUGAGACAAUGCCUAUGGGAAAACCAAAUGUCUCCUAUUUUAGAGGUAGAUUUUGUGCCCUCGGUCUUCAAUCUCAUCACUUCUGCAAGCAGUAAAAUAGGGUUUGGGGAGGUCAGGCGCCGGUCCUGACCCACAGAUACUGGUGCGUGGAGAUCUUGGCUGUCAUCCCGCUCACCCAGCCCUUUGUUGUAUUGCCUCUUGUUGCAUUCCGAGCCCACUGGACGUUGCAGCUGCCUCAUGUCAUGGGGACCUGAGGUAACCAAACCUUUCCUCUGUCCUUCUGUAGUGAAUCUGGUGGGUCGGGAGACGGCUCUUUGAGGCUGGAUGCGGGCGGGGUCGUGAGAGGCGAGGAGAGAACCAGAUCACUGGACUCAUUAAUCGCUGGGAGAGGGGGCAGGAAGGUCUUCCCAGAAGCUGUUACUCUGCCAACAGGAGGAAGGCCUCCCGGCCAUCUGGACCACCCGGCAGGGCAGGGCAGGGAGCGGCAUGGUGACAUUGCUUCAUUGCUCGCUUCCACGGGGGGCGAUUCAGAGCAGGGACCCCAGUGGCCGGUCUCCCCAGAAGCUCUCUCCUCAGUGGGUGGCAGCAGAGGUGGGGGCGCUGUGUGACCGAAAUCCGGAUGGGAGGGCAGCCUCUGAGUGCGGUGACCCCGGGAUGCGGUGUCACAGGGAACUUGGGGUGCGGGACCAUGUGAGGUUAUGGGGAUCUCGGGGUGCAGGCACUGAGGCGACACGGGGACCUUGGGUUGCAGGUGGUGAGAGAUCAUGGGGACCUUGGGUGCGGUCGGUGCGGGGUCACGGGACCUUGGGGUACAGGGCGGGGAGUGGGUCAAAGGGACCUCGGGGUGCGCGCGGCGGUGUGCGGU